UGAUUACACCGAAGACCCAGGAAACAGGAUUCUCUCAUCUGGAUUUCCUUGAGGUGUACAGGGCUAGAAGGGAGUAGUCUAUUGAAACAUCAUUGCAGAUCCAGUUAGAGCCAAGGGGUGAGUGCAGGCUGAGCUAGAGCCUUCAUUUGGAAGGUAGUGGUAUUUGUGAGCACCAUACGAGGUAAUAUAUAGAAAACUGCACUAAAGCAUCCACACUGCAGUCCGGGACCUUAUUCUCAUAUUUAAAUAUCUAACAACUAUGUUGUGAAGGGAAGAAGGCUCCAUGGUUUACAAAAUGGAGGAUCUGGACCAAGAAGGGAAAUAUGGCAGAGGCAGGCAGUUAUCUGCAUAUGAGGGAUAUGUUCUCC
This 368-nucleotide long non-coding RNA is filed under the name Homo sapiens (human). RNAcentral's name for it is "HSALNT0189814". The record is from RNAcentral. Lineage: Eukaryota; Metazoa; Chordata; Mammalia; Primates; Hominidae.